This is a small nuclear RNA of Peromyscus californicus insignis, 107 nucleotides long. The record is from RefSeq and is a predicted model, not a curated record. NCBI's taxonomy places the organism in Eukaryota, Metazoa, Chordata, Mammalia, Rodentia, Cricetidae.
UCUCUACCGGUUUCAGCAGAAUCUAUACUAAAAUUGAAACAAUAUAGAGAAGAUUAGCAUGGUCCUGGUCCAAGGAUGGCACAAAUUCAUAUCUUGUACCAAUUACU